RNAcentral lists this long non-coding RNA (646 nucleotides) under Homo sapiens (human). RNAcentral describes it as "non-protein coding lnc-CREM-6:2". Lineage: Eukaryota; Metazoa; Chordata; Mammalia; Primates; Hominidae. The record is from RNAcentral.
CUUCCUAGGAGAAUUUCUUUCUUAGCUCUCCCCUCAUGAUAGACACAGGGCCAAUGGCAGGCCCAGCUUCCCCCGGCAGGAGCCACUCCUGUCUCCCACGUUCCCCACACAGAGCUGUGGUGACUCAACCCACGUGUCAGGAACAGGACCGAACAAGCGUAUGUAUAAACGCAGACCAGGAUCAUCACUUUAUUGGUAAUGUUGAGUCAUAAGGCAGUUACAAAAGGACCCCCAUGGUGACCAAACAAUGUUGGACUAUGGCUUAGCUUCUGUAAUAGGAUGACCGACUCUCCCGUCACAAAGAGCUGAGAAAGGAAAGAGAAAACCACAGUGAUGACAAAGUACGACAAAUGGCUGUGCUGUGAAGUACCAGAAAGCCCCAAUUUUUGGUGUAUGUCGCCCACUUUUCCUCCACCAGAGACUAAGAUGUCAUCCCAUAGCUAAGAGAACUUAGAGGGAGAAACAGGGCCGCACGUCAUCCUCCACUUCAGGUGAAUUUGUCACUGCAAGUGGUGCAGGGAUGUUACAACCAAGCCGCGGACAACUCAUGAGUAGGGCCGAGAUUCCUGGUACUGUGGAGAGGCGCAGAGCAUAUGAACACCUCAAACAGAUGAUUGUCACAGGGUGGGAAAUCCUUCCAUGAAAC